GAAUAUUGGACAAUGGGGGCAACCCUGAUCCAGCGACGCCGCGUGGGUGAAGAAGGCCUGCGGGUUGUAAAGCCCUUUCGGUGGGGAUAAAAAGCCUUGGUCUAACACACCAGGGUCUUGAUCUAACCCAAGCAAGAAGCCCCGGCUAACUUCGUGCCAGCAGCCGCGGUAAUACGAAGGGGGCUAGCGUUGUUCGGAUUUACUGGGCGUAAAGCGCGUGUAGGCGGACUUGUAAGUUGGGGGUGAAAUCCCGAGGCUCAACCUCGGAACUGCCUCCAAAACUACAAGUCUGGAGCAAGAUAGAGGCAAGUGGAAUUGCGAGUGUAGAGGUGAAAUUCGUAGAUAUUCGCAGGAACACCAGUGGCGAAGGCGACUUGCUGGAUCUUUGCUGACGCUGAGACGCGAAAGCGUGGGGAGCAAAC
RNAcentral lists this ribosomal RNA (422 nucleotides) under uncultured bacterium. RNAcentral describes it as "bacterial SSU rRNA". It matches the Rfam family "Bacterial small subunit ribosomal RNA", at positions 359 to 773 of the family's 1533-position model. The record is from RNAcentral.